UCCCUCCUGCCCACCUGCGGACCGAAUCUGCCCGCGAGCAUCCCGGGUCCCCGCGAAGCGCGCGGCGGCCGGCGACGGCGGGCCCAGGUUCGCGGACGGCGUGCGCCGGUCGCGGUCCGGCCGGGAGUGCGCAGCCCCGCCUCGCGGCCUCCGUAGUUCUGGCGGCGUGCGCAGCCCCCCGCCUCGCGGCCACCGUAGUUCCGGGGUCGGGGCCGGGGGCGGUUCCGCGGGCGGAAGUUGCUCUAGAACGGCGUGUGUGCGGUCGCCGGUGUCUCCGUGAACCAGAAACCUGCGGCCGGAGCGUUUGCCUGGUCUGUCAGUGAUGGCUGGGUUCGUGGCGCGGUGCCCCGGCUCGUGAUGAGACACCUGCGAGGUCAGCGUUCGCGCGCGUGGGCUCAGUGAGGAUGGCUGUGACCCUGAGGUUCAGGGGGUCGGCGUGGGACCGGCGCGCGGGGCUGUGUGCUCGCUGGCGGCGUGACGGUCGGGCCAGGGACGCGGACUCUGUGGGCUAGUAACGUUGGUCCGUGGCUGCGCAUUUGGGUCCUGAAGUUUGGAGAUGAGGAUCUGGUGAGUUUGAAAGCACUAUUCCAGAGAGUAUAAAGGGGAUGGAAGUUUUUGGUUGCUUGUGGUUUGUUUUCCACCGGGAAUAUGUGACACACCACGUCAUCCUGGUCAGGUGCACCGUCUGUGUGGGAAUUUAGCCUCCCCUCCCCCCAUAUUAAGAAAGACAGCCAGCGAGAGAGGAAACACAAGCAGGAGGAGUGGGAGAGGAAGGAGCAG
Ailuropoda melanoleuca (giant panda) is the source of this 780-nucleotide long non-coding RNA. RefSeq lists it as uncharacterized. The record is from RefSeq and is a predicted model, not a curated record. Lineage: Eukaryota; Metazoa; Chordata; Mammalia; Carnivora; Ursidae. The transcript is spliced from 3 exons.